UAACCUUGCUGAAUCUAGGUCUGUUUCCCAAGGUAUUGUCAUACAAGUAGGCCCUGAUUGCUCAUCUUCCACUGACCUUA
RNAcentral lists this small nucleolar RNA (80 nucleotides) under Oryza sativa (Asian cultivated rice). RNAcentral's name for it is "Z121 small nucleolar RNA". The record is from RNAcentral. Lineage: Eukaryota; Viridiplantae; Streptophyta; Magnoliopsida; Poales; Poaceae.